Megalops cyprinoides (Indo-Pacific tarpon) is the source of this 136-nucleotide small nucleolar RNA. The record is from RefSeq and is a predicted model, not a curated record. NCBI's taxonomy places the organism in Eukaryota, Metazoa, Chordata, Actinopteri, Elopiformes, Megalopidae.
AAUGGCCCUUAUCGAAGCCGUUUCAGUGCCCACCGUCGCUGAAUCGGUCAAAGAGGAGCCUACAUUGGAACUUUUGCCGACGGUCGCUGUUCAGUUUUGUUGUAACUGACUAGCAACAUUAUGGAAAAGGACAUUU